GGAGAAUGAAAGGAGAAUCAAGUGAAGGGAAAGGAGGAAGGAGGCAGCAGAGAACACAAGAAGUUCCCUUUCACAGGAGGAAAAGAAGUGAACAUAAUUAUGGGACCAGAAUGGACAGCUAUACGUACACCUGGAGUUUUUAUGUUAAAUUUUGAAUUGUUGCUCUCAAAAUGGGCUGGCCUUGAUGUCACUGCUCCAGUGAGAACCGAAGCCAGGGCGGCAGCAGCAAAGCACCUGUUCCCUGAAAAGCAGACCUCAGAACAGCAGGAACACAGCCGGGGCCUGCAGGAAAACACCCAGGAGAGAGACGAAUAUUCUUUGACAACAGCUGCCAAGAAUUACAAGA
Molecule: long non-coding RNA, 346 nt
Filed under: Rhinopithecus bieti (black snub-nosed monkey)
Lineage: Eukaryota; Metazoa; Chordata; Mammalia; Primates; Cercopithecidae
Description: lncRNA (ENSRBIG00000046033.1)
Source: RNAcentral